Molecule: long non-coding RNA, 1015 nt
Organism: Alligator mississippiensis (American alligator)
Lineage: Eukaryota; Metazoa; Chordata; Crocodylia; Alligatoridae
Exons: 3
Source: RefSeq, a predicted model, not a curated record
GUCGCUGGCGCCUGGGGCCGGUCCCGGGGGGCGCAGGGGGCUUUGCUGGAGCGGGGCGGGUCCCCGGGGCCCGUGGGGAGACAGCCGGGCCGGGACAAGCUGCGGGCCGGCGGCUGCCCCUGCCCCUGCCGGCACGUGCAGGACACCCCAGACCUCGUCCUGCCGGCGGGGCCCCCGCAGCGCGGGAGAGCGGGCAGCAGGUGCAGGGACCGUGAGCAGAGCUGAGCAGAGCAGCAGCCCCCUGGGGAAGGGCCUGUAACCCUGGAGCUGCAGAGGACUUCGCCAGGGAGAGAGGGGCUCCCUGACACCUGAGCGGGGCCCGGGCAGGCCGUCAAACGGGGAGAGCAUGGAGAGUCCUGUGUCCAGCUUUGGGCCCCAUACUUCAAGAACAGAUUGGAAGGAGUCCAGUGGAGAGCAUCACAAAUGAUCAGAAGCCUGGGAAGUAUGACUUCGAUUAAGGAAAGGCUCAAAGAACUGGGGUCAUUUUGUCUGGAGAAGAGAAGACUGAGGAGAUGUUUGGUAGCAUCCUCAACUUCCUGAAAGGUGAUUAUGGAGAGGAUGGAGAUGGGCUUUUCUCUGUGGCUGGACAGGACAGGACUAAGAGAAACAGCCUCAAGCUUCAACAGGGGAAAUUUAUGUCGGAGAUGAGGAGGGUCUUUCUGACUAUGAGGCUGGUCGUGCACCGGCACAGGCUGCCUAGAGAAGUUGUAGAGUCUCCAUCCCUGGAAGUGUCACAAGGAGGUUGGCCAACCCCUUGGAUGGGAUGGCUUUCAUCAGGGAGGACUUUGUCUUGAGCAGGGGGCUGGACAAGAUGACUUGCGAGGUCCAUUCAUAAUGCUGAGUUGAAGGGUUUAGGGAAUGCACUGAUAUAACUAACGGUGCAUUAUCUUCUGAUUGGAUUGUGUAUGUAUGAAGAUACACAAACUGGAGGGAGACUGGAUUUGUGUAACCUUGCAGCUGCCUUUUGGCCACUCCAAUCACCUGGCUGCAAGGGAAUAAAGCUAAUCUGGUUUUA